AUCUAUGGCUAUACCACCGUGAAUGUGCCUUAUCCUAUCUGAUCUCAGAAGCUAAGCAGGGUCGGUCCUGGUUAGUACUUGGAUGGGAGGCCACAAGGGAAUACCAGGUGCUUUUGGCU
Molecule: ribosomal RNA, 119 nt
Organism: Mesocricetus auratus (golden hamster)
Lineage: Eukaryota; Metazoa; Chordata; Mammalia; Rodentia; Cricetidae
Source: Ensembl